This 508-nucleotide ribosomal RNA is filed under the name uncultured bacterium. Its description in RNAcentral is "partial 16S ribosomal RNA". It matches the Rfam family "Bacterial small subunit ribosomal RNA", at positions 30 to 523 of the family's 1533-position model. The record is from RNAcentral.
AUUGAACGCUGGCGGCAUGCCUUACACAUGCAAGUCGAACGGCAGCGGGGGAGAAGCUUGCUUUUCCUGCCGGCGAGUGGCGAACGGGUGAGUAAUACAUCGGAACGUGCCCUGUAGUGGGGGAUAACUAGUCGAAAGAUUAGCUAAUACCGCAUACGACCUGAGGGUGAAAGUGGGGGACCGCAAGGCCUCAUGCUAUAGGAGCGGCCGAUGUUUGAUUAGCUAGUUGGUGGGGUAAAGGCCUACCAAGGCGACGAUCAGGAGCUGGUCUGAGAGGACGAUCAGCCACACUGGGACUGAGACACGGCCCAGACUCCUACGGGAGGCAGCAGUGGGGAAUUUUGGACAAUGGGCGAAAGCCUGAUCCAGCAAUGCCGCGUGUGUGAAGAAGGCCUUCGGGUUGUAAAGCACUUUUGUCCGGAAAGAAAUGGCUCUGGUUAAUACCUGGGGUCGAUGACGGUACCGGAAGAAUAAGGACCGGCUAACUACGUACCAGCAGCCGCCGUAA